This 497-nucleotide ribosomal RNA is filed under the name uncultured bacterium. Its description in RNAcentral is "partial 16S ribosomal RNA". It matches the Rfam family "Bacterial small subunit ribosomal RNA", at positions 28 to 507 of the family's 1533-position model. The record is from RNAcentral.
GAUGAACGCUGGCGGCGUGCCUAAUACAUGCAAGUCGAGCGAACGGACGAGAAGCUUGCUUCUCUGAUGUUAGCGGCGGACGGGUGAGUAACACGUGGAUAACCUACCUAUAAGACUGGGAUAACUUCGGGAAACCGGAGCUAAUACCGGAUAAUAUUUUGAACCGCAUGGUUCAAAAGUGAAAGACGGUCUUGCUGUCACUUAUAGAUGGAUCCGCGCUGCAUUAGCUAGUUGGUAAGGUAACGGCUUACCAAGGCAACGAUGCAUAGCCGACCUGAGAGGGUGAUCGGCCACACUGGAGCUGAGACACGGUCCAGACUCCUACGGGAGGCAGCAGUCGGGAAUCUUCCGCAAUGGGCGAAAGCCUGACGGAGCAACGCCGCGUGAGUGAUGAAGGUCUUCGGAUCGUAAAACUCUGUUAUUAGGGAAGAACAUAUGUGUAAGUAACUGUGCACAUCUUGACGGUACCUAAUCAGAAAGCCACGGCUAACUACGUG